Molecule: unclassified non-coding RNA, 284 nt
Filed under: Hevea brasiliensis (rubber tree)
Lineage: Eukaryota; Viridiplantae; Streptophyta; Magnoliopsida; Malpighiales; Euphorbiaceae
Source: RNAcentral
ACACCCAAAAACCCCGCCAAGAACCCAGCCACUUCCGUGAAACUGGUGUGCAGUUUCCCAAAAAUGGAUUCAGCACUUGGAAGUUUGCCGCCAAAUUCUGAAGAAACAAACUUUGCCAGAGGAGCACUUUUAAAAUUGAGAAAUUUUCUUUUGUUAGGAGCACGUGCAUUAUUUGUGUAUUUGUGUGAAGGUUAGGAUUCACUAAUCCAGACAUCAAGGGCUGUUUUGCACCAUUCGACGCCAUUAAGAGUCUUUGGAGACCUCCACUGCGAUUGACCUUCCUG